ACUAAAAGUCGUAACAAGGUAACCGUAGGUGAACCUGCGGUUGGAUCAUUACUGAUUACUGCUGUCCUAGGUUGAGCUUUUCGGAGCUCCCUAGGCAGUAUUUCACACUUUGUGCACCGAGAUUGUAUUUUGGGCUGGUUUCGGCCAGCCCAGCAUUCAAACACCUUUAAUUUAUACUGAAUUUUUUAUAUUAAAAAAUAACAACUUUUGACAACGGAUCUCUUGGCUCUC
RNAcentral lists this unclassified non-coding RNA (231 nucleotides) under Protrudomyces lateralis. RNAcentral describes it as "partial internal transcribed spacer region". The stretch from base 1 to 51 matches the Rfam family "Eukaryotic small subunit ribosomal RNA", at positions 1781 to 1831 of the family's 1831-position model. Lineage: Eukaryota; Fungi; Chytridiomycota; Chytridiomycetes; Rhizophydiales; Protrudomycetaceae. The record is from RNAcentral.